GACGGGGAAUGCAAGUGUUAUCCGGAAUCACUGGGCGUAAAGCGUCUGCAGGUGGUUUCCUAAGUCCACUGUUAAACCUUGAGGCUCAACCUCAAAUCUGCAUUGGAAACUAGGAGACUUGAGUAUAGUAGGGGUAGAGGGAAUUUCCAGUGGAGCGGUGAAAUGCGUAGAUAUUGGAAAGAACACCGAUGGCGAAGGCACUCUACUGGGCUAUUACUGACACUCAGAGACGAAAGCUAGGGGAGCAAAUGGG
RNAcentral lists this ribosomal RNA (253 nucleotides) under uncultured bacterium. RNAcentral describes it as "partial 16S ribosomal RNA". It matches the Rfam family "Bacterial small subunit ribosomal RNA", at positions 524 to 776 of the family's 1533-position model. The record is from RNAcentral.